This 57-nucleotide microRNA precursor is filed under the name Sarcophilus harrisii (Tasmanian devil). RNAcentral describes it as "Sha-Mir-101-P1-v2_pre stem-loop". It matches the Rfam family "mir-101 microRNA precursor family", at positions 11 to 67 of the family's 75-position model. Rfam says of the family: The hairpin precursors (represented here) are predicted based on base pairing and cross-species conservation -- their extents are not known. In this case the mature sequence is excised from the 3' arm of the hairpin. Lineage: Eukaryota; Metazoa; Chordata; Mammalia; Dasyuromorphia; Dasyuridae. RNAcentral also lists the same sequence under 1 other name. The record is from RNAcentral.
CAGUUAUCACAGUGCUGAUGCUGUCCGUUCUCAAGGUACAGUACUGUGAUAACUGAA